UUACAACUUCUUCCAGAAAGGAUUCAUCAGAGGUGGCAGUUUCAUAGUAUUGGUUUGAUUUUAAAGAAGCUCCUUCAUACUGGGAACUCCUUAAAGAUACGUCGAGAAGGUGUGCGUCUUUUCCUUUUGUGGUUGCAAGCACUUCAGAAUAACUGUAGUAAAGAACAGUUGUGGAUGUUUUCAUGCUUAAUUCCUGGGUUUUCAUCACCACAAUCUGAAUAUGGGCCUCGAACACUAGAUAAUCUCAUUAACCCUCCACUUAAUGUUCAAGAAACUCAAGUUACUAUAGAAGAAAUUACUCCACUUGUCCCUCCACAAUCUGGAGACAAAGGACAAGAAGAUCUUACAAGCUACUUUCUAGAAGCACUUUUGAAAUACAUGGUAAUCCAGGUUAAGAGUUUGGAAUGGAAGAACAAGGAAAACCAAGAAAAGGGAUUUUCAUUUUUGUUUUCAAAUUUUAAGAAAUACUAUUUGCCUUAUAUGUUCCCAAACAUCUGUAAGGAGACCAGCUUGUAUAACCCUGUACUUGAAAUACCACAGAUGAGACCAAAGCCCCACUACAUAAUGAUAAAGAAAGAUGCGGAAACCAAUGAAGCAAUAUAUUGCACAAAAGAACCUUUCCUUAAGGCUCGUGUUAUUGUCAUUCGAUGGUUGGUGUCUUUCUGGCUUGAGCCAAAACCUCAUGCUGGACCUCAUAUUCCUGGAGUGGAAGGUGAAAAUGUGCCAAAGAAUAUUCAGAGAGCAGCUGCUAGCAUGGCUUCAAGGGAAGACAGCAAAAAUGACAAUGGUGAUAGACAAGAUAGAAAUGCAGAACCAGAACAAUCUCAUUCUAAUACUAGCACCCUGACAGAAAGAGAGCCAAGUUCCUCUAGCCUCUGCAGUAUGGAUGAAGAACACCUAACUGAUAUUGAAAUAGUCCGUAAAGUCUUUUCUUCUAAAAGAAAUAAUGUUAACUUUCUUAUUGAGAUAUUUCGACAGGCAUUUUUGUUGCCUAUUUGUGAAGCAGCUGCCAUGAGGAAAGUGGUGAAAGUAUACCAGGAGUGGAUACAACAGGAAGAUAAACCUUUAUUUAUGAAAGAACCUGAAGAAAUAAUGCAGUCUACAAAUAUAGAUUGUGAUGAAAAUGUUGCAGAGCAUAAUUCAGUAGAGACCGCAAAAGAGAGAGAGGAGGAAAAAACGACAAAUUCUAGUCACAUCCAGAAUUCAAGUUGGACAAGAAAUGGCUGCUAUCAAAAUAAAAUAUCCGAAGUAGAUAUUGAAGAGCAAAGUGUACGAGCGGGAAUGCAGUCAGUAUUGCAGGUUUUUAUAAUCAACUCUUCAAAUAUAUUCUUUCUUGAACCUGCAAAUGAAAUGAAAAAUCUUCUGGAUGAGCACACUGAUAUGUGUAAACGCAUUCUUAAUAUCUACCGUCACAUGGUGGUGCAAGUAACAAUGGACAAGAAAACUUGGGAACAGAUGCUGCUUGUGCUGCUCCGGGUCACAGAAUCUGUGCUGAAAAUACCACCCCCAACUUUCCUGCAAUACUACGGAAGAAAGAAUUCUACUUUAGCAGGAAGACUCGCAGGACCUCUUUUCCAGACACUUAUAGUAGCCUGGAUCAAAGCAAAUCUAAAUGUGUACAUCUCCCGAGAACUUUGGGAUGACUUGUUGUCAGUAAUGUCAUCUCUGACAUACUGGGAAGAGCUUGCCACUGAGUGGUCACUGACUAUGGAGACACUAACUAAAGUAUUAGCUAGAAACUUGUAUAGCCUGGACCUCAGUGACUUACCAUUGGAUAAAUUAAGUGAACAGAAACAGAAAAAGCACAAAGGCAAAGGAGUUGGGCAUGAGUUCCAAAAAUCAUCUGUUGAUAAGUCAUUUUCUAGAGGCUGGAGCCGUGAUCAGCCUGGACAGGCUCCAAUGAGACAGCGCAGUGCUACAACUACUGGAUCUCCAGGAACAGAAAAGGCAAGAAGCAUAGUACGGCAAAAAACAGUUGCCAUGAGAAGCCGAUCCAUUGGUGAAUGUGCUCUGCCAUCGGCCUAUAUACGCAGUGCUAAAAGUGCUCCUGUUCUGAUCCAUACUUCCAAACCCUUCUUGCCUGAUAUUGUUCUCACUCCCCUUUCUGAUGAGCUUUCAGACAUUGAUGAUGCUCAAAUUCUUCCGCGUCCAUCUCGAGUCAGGCAUUUUUCACAGAGUGAGGACACACCAAGUGAAGUUUUUGGCACAUUGAAUGAAGAACAGCCAUUGCCGCGAAGUAGCAGUACGUCUGACAUCCUGGAACCAUUUGCAGUUGAACGAGCCAAAGUUAAUAGAGACGACUUGAGUCAAAAGCCACACCCUGUUGGUAGUGAUAUUGGCAGUAGCAAUACAAAUGUUCCUGACCUUAUGGAUGAAUUUAUAGCUGAGAGACUCCGCAGUGGUAGUGCAUUGAAUGUGACAAGAAGAGGUAGCAGUCCUGGCAGCCUAGAAGUUCCAAAAGAUCUUCCUGACAUAUUGAACAAGCAAAACCAAAUGCGUCCUAUAGAUGAUCCAGGUGUUCCUUCUGAAUGGACCUCUCCUGCUAGUGCAGGAAGCAGUGAUCUUAUCAGUUCAGAUAGCCAUUCUGACUCAUUCAGCGCUUUCCAGUAUGAUGGCCGCAAAUUUGAAAAUUUCAGCUUUGGUACUGAUGCUGGGACACCGGCUUCCACUGAGAUUGAUGCAAUUUCAGGACACCAGCAAAGUGCUGAGGAACAAGAAGUGGCUAGUUUAACUACACUCCACAUAGAUUCUGAAACAAGUAGUCUUAACCAGCAACCAUUGUCUGCUGAAGCUGCAACUAUCACUGGCUCUGAAAGCGCUUCUCCAAUCCAGUCUGCUCUUGGAUCCCGAUCACAGACACCCUCUCCUGCCACUCUGAAUGCAGAUCAUAUAGAACAGAAGGAUCUGCAGCUGGAUGAAAAGCUCCACCACUCUGUUUUACAGACGCCAGAUGACCUAGGCAAAACUAGUGAAUUCCCUUCAGAAUGUUGCAGUGUGAUGGCGGGGGGAACGCUUACAGGAUGGCAUGCAGAUGUUGCUACUGUAAUGUGGAGACGAAUGCUUGGAAUUUUGGGAGAUGUCAACAGCAUUACAGACCCAGAGAUUCAUGCCCAAGUUUUUGAUUAUCUCUGUGAACUCUGGCAGAACCUGGCUAAGAUAAGAGAUAAUCUUGGUAUUUCAACCGAUAAUCUGACUUCACCGUCUCCACCAAUUUUAAUCCCACCAUUGAGAAUUCUAACUCCAUGGCUUUUCAAGGCAACCAUGUUGACUGAUAAAUACAAACAAGGCAAGCUACAUGCUUAUAAACUUAUUUGUAAGACAAUGAAGCGAAGACAAGAUGUUUCUCCAAAUCAGGACUUUUUAACUCAUUUCUACAAUAUAAUGCAUUGUGGACUUCUUCAUGUUGAUCAGGAUAUUGUCAAUACAAUCAUCAAGCACUGUUCUCCUCAGUUUUUUUCCCUUGGUUUGCCUGGUGCUACCAUGCUUAUUAUGGAUUUCAUUGUAGCAGCUGGUAGAGUGGCAGCUUCUUCUCUUCUCAAUGCACCAAGAGUGGAAGCACAAGUUCUUUUGGGAUCUCUGGUGUGCUUUCCCAAUUUAUAUCGUGAACUACCAGCUCUACAUCCAAACACACCUGAUAUUGCUGUAUCUCAAUUCACUGAUGUCAAGGAACUCAUAGUCAAAACUGUAUUAAGUUCUGCCAGGGAAGAGCCAUCUGGUCCUGCACGAUGUGUUGCUCUUUGCAGCCUUGGCAUUUGGAUCUGUGAGGAGCUAGUUCAUGAAUCGCAUCAUCCUCAGAUCAAGGAAGCACUGAAUGUGAUUUGUGCGUCUUUAAAGUUUCCAAAUAAAACAGUAGCGCACGUUGCCUGCAAUAUGCUCAGCAUGCUGAUUCAUUAUGUACACAGGCUUCAAGCAUACCAAGCUGAUUUACCUUUGAAAAUUAUUCAAAUUCUGGUAGCAACUAUUACUCACCUUCUGCCUGGGACAGAAGCUGCUUCUUAUGAACAGGACAAGAGGUUGGUAGUAUCUUUACUACUCUGUUUGUUGGACUGGAUAAUGGCCUUGCCUUUAAAGACCUUACUGCAACCUGUUCACACUACAGAUGAAAAUGAUAAGACUGAAAAAUCUGUUCUGCAUUGUAUAUUCAAGGUUCUGCAUGGAUGUGUCUAUGGAGCUCAAUGUUUUGGCACCCCAAAGUAUUUUCCUCUAAGUUUUUCUGAUUUGGCAUCUAUGGAUUAUGAUCCUUUUAUGCCUUUAGAAAGUCUGAAAGAACCAGAACCACUACAUUCUCCAGACUCAGAACGGUCUUCUAAACUUCAGCCAGUCACAGAAGUGAAAACCCAUAUGCAACAAGGAUUGAUCUCCGUUGCAGCUCGUACUGUAGUAACUCAUUUAGUGAACCACUUAGGCCACUAUCCAAUGAGUGGAGGCCCUGCCAUGUUAACUAGUCAAGUUUGCGAAAACAAUGAUAACCCUUACAGUGAGAGUCCUGAACUUUCUCCUGAACUUUUUGAGAGUCCAAACCUUCAGUUCUUUGUGCUAAACAAUACUUCCUUAGUCUCUUGUAUACAAAUCCAAGCUGAAGAGAAUAUGCCUGGGGGAGGAUUGUCUGCUGGACUCGUAUCUGCUAAUCCAAAUGUCAGAAUUAUAGUGCGUGAUCUGUCUGGUAAAUAUUCAUGGGAUUCUGCAAUUUUGUAUGGGCCAUCAUCUUUAUGUGGAUCGUCACAACAAACUGCUUUUGCGCUUUCUUUAUAUGAGCAAGAGAAACCAGAUGAUGCCCCAUCUUUCAGUGAGUUCGUAGAGGAUGUAGCUAUAAGGGAUGGAAUUACACUCCAUGCAAAAAGAACAUUUAGAGAAACUGUGCCAACAUGGGAUACAAUUAGGGAUGAGGAAGAUGCUCUUGAUGAGCUCUUGCAGUAUUUAGGUAUCACUAGUCCUGAAUGCUUACAGAGAACAGGAGUCUCACUCAAUACACCAGCUCCUCAACCAAUCUGUAUCUCAGAAAAACAGGAAAAUGAUGUAAUCAAUGCAAUUCUUAAGCAAGACACAGAAGAGAGAGAAUUUGUUGAAAAACACUUUAAUGACUUAAAUAUGAAAGCUGUGGAACAGAAUGAACCAACCCCCCAGAAGCCCCAGUCAGCAUUUUACUAUUGCAGAUUACUUCUCAGCAUACUGGGUAUGAAUUCUUGGGAUAAAAGAAGAAGCUUUCAUCUCUUGAAGAAAAAUGAGAAGUUACUUCGAGAACUUAGAAAUUUGGACUCACGACAAUGCAGAGAGACUCACAAGAUUGCAGUAUUUUAUGUUGCUGAGGGCCAAGAAGAUAAACACUCCAUCCUCACAAAUACUGGAGGGAGCCAAGCCUAUGAAGAUUUUGUAGCAGGCCUUGGUUGGGAGGUAAAUCUCACAAACCAUUGUGGUUUUAUGGGAGGACUGCAAAAAAACAAAAGUACUGGGUUGACCACUCCAUAUUUUGCUACCUCUACAGUGGAAGUGAUGUUCCAUGUGUCAACAAGAAUGCCUUCUGAUUCCGAUGACUCUCUAACUAAAAAGCUAAGACAUUUAGGAAAUGAUGAAGUGCACAUUGUCUGGUCAGAGCAUACUCGAGACUACAGGAGAGGAAUAAUUCCUACAGAAUUUGGUGAUGUUCUCAUUGUUAUCUAUCCAAUGAAAAACCAUAUGUUCAGUAUCCAGAUUAUGAAAAAACCUGAGCUAGAAACAAGAGAGAGACCUGGAAUCUUGUAAGGAGCUAGAGCCCCGUGGAACACUAGGAGGUAUAUUGCAGAUGACCAGUAAUCCACAGACACCAGUUCUAAAGUGUUGAAGGAAACCAGGAUGAUGAUUGGUUCCCUUCUUUGGUCCACUUUUCGAUGGUGCUAUUGUGAACGGAAAAAUUCUUCCUAUUAUGGUUCGUGCAACAGCUAUAAAUGCAAGCCGAGCACUGAAAUCGCUGAUCCCAU
Alligator sinensis (Chinese alligator) is the source of this 5954-nucleotide RNA transcript. It is a transcript of the gene named Ral GTPase activating protein catalytic alpha subunit 1, with no coding region annotated. The record is from RefSeq and is a predicted model, not a curated record. The transcript has 37 exons. NCBI's taxonomy places the organism in Eukaryota, Metazoa, Chordata, Crocodylia, Alligatoridae.